CCUACGGGAGGCAGCAGUGAGGAAUAUUGGGCAAUGGAGGCAACUCUGACCCAGCCAUGCCGCGUGCAGGAAGACGGCCCUCUGGGUUGUAAACUGCUUUUGUUUGGGAAUAAACCCUUCUACGUGUAGAAGGCUGAAGGUACCAUACGAAUAAGGAUCGGCUAACUCCGUGCCAGCAGCCGCGGUAAU
RNAcentral lists this ribosomal RNA (189 nucleotides) under uncultured bacterium. Its description in RNAcentral is "partial 16S ribosomal RNA". It matches the Rfam family "Bacterial small subunit ribosomal RNA", at positions 338 to 524 of the family's 1533-position model. The record is from RNAcentral.